GCAUCAUGAUUUACAUUUGAGUGAGUGGCGAACUGGUGAGUAACACGUGGGAAACCUGCCCAGAAGCGGGGGAUAACACCUGGAAACAGAUGCUAAUACCGCAUAACAACUUGGACCGCAUGGUCCGAGCUUGAAAGAUGGCUUCGGCUAUCACUUUUGGAUGGUCCCGCGGCGUAUUAGCUAGAUGGUGGGGUAACGGCUCACCAUGGCAAUGAUACGUAGCCGACCUGAGAGGGUAAUCGGCCACAUUGGGACUGAGACACGGCCCAAACUCCUACGGGAGGCAGCAGUAGGGAAUCUUCCACAAUGGACGAAAGUCUGAUGGAGCAACGCCGCGUGAGUGAAGAAGGGUUUCGGCUCGUAAAACUCUGUUGUUAAAGAAGAACAUAUCUGAGAGUAACUGUUCAGGUAUUGACGGUAUUUAACCAGAAAGCCACGGCUAACUACGUGCCAGCAGCCGCGGUAAUACGUAGGUGGCAAGCGUUGUCCGGAUUUAUUGGGCGUAAAGCGAGCGCAGGCGGUUUUUUAAGUCUGAUGUGAAAGCCUUCGGCUCAACCGAAGAAGUGCAUCGGAAACUGGGAAACUUGAGUGCAGAAGAGGACAGUGGAACUCCAUGUGUAGCGGUGAAAUGCGUAGAUAUAUGGAAGAACACCAGUGGCGAAGGCGGCUGUCUGGUCUGUAACUGACGCUGAGGCUC
RNAcentral lists this ribosomal RNA (697 nucleotides) under Lactiplantibacillus plantarum. RNAcentral's name for it is "bacterial SSU rRNA". It matches the Rfam family "Bacterial small subunit ribosomal RNA", at positions 69 to 754 of the family's 1533-position model. Lineage: Bacteria; Bacillati; Bacillota; Bacilli; Lactobacillales; Lactobacillaceae. The record is from RNAcentral.